Non-coding RNA from Phrynosoma platyrhinos (Desert horned lizard), 72 nucleotides. NCBI's taxonomy places the organism in Eukaryota, Metazoa, Chordata, Lepidosauria, Squamata, Phrynosomatidae. The record is from the annotation of a GenBank genome assembly.
GCCAGCAUGGUGUAGUGGAUAUAGCAUUGGACUAUAACUCUGAAAAUCAGGAUUCAAAUCCCUGCUCAGUCA